CUGCCUUAGACAAAGGAUGCGCUCCGAGCCCCACCACACCUAAAGCCGCGCUUUGAAGGAUCUGCCAAGCUCACUUUUAAUCAUGAGAAAGAAAUUACCCACAUGGAGUCAGCAGAAAAUGAGAAAGUAGAGCUCGUGCUGCGAAUAAUUCCAGCAAGUGCCAAGGGGCUAGUUGAGGAAUGGCUUCACGAGG
Loxodonta africana (African savanna elephant) is the source of this 193-nucleotide non-coding RNA. The record is from Rfam. NCBI's taxonomy places the organism in Eukaryota, Metazoa, Chordata, Mammalia, Proboscidea, Elephantidae.